RNAcentral lists this long non-coding RNA (240 nucleotides) under Malus domestica (apple). RNAcentral describes it as "long non-coding RNA (MDOM_LNC011450)". Lineage: Eukaryota; Viridiplantae; Streptophyta; Magnoliopsida; Rosales; Rosaceae. The record is from RNAcentral.
CACUAGUGUAAAUAUUUUAAAUUGAAAAUCGAGUUUAUUCAUUGUAUUCAUAUAGGGUCAAGGAGUGUAACUGUAAAAAAUCAUCAAAAUCAGAGUUAAAAUAACCGUUAAAUCGUGAUUUUUCAUUGAUAACCGUCGAAAAGUUUUGUCCCGUUACUUGAUCUCUGGAUGUUUGUUUUUUGCAAUUUUUUGCUGAUGUGAUCUCGAAGCGUAUACAAACAAGUUUGACGGUUGGAUUGU